This 356-nucleotide ribosomal RNA is filed under the name uncultured bacterium. RNAcentral describes it as "bacterial SSU rRNA". It matches the Rfam family "Bacterial small subunit ribosomal RNA", at positions 8 to 353 of the family's 1533-position model. The record is from RNAcentral.
AGAGUUUGAUCAUGGCUCAGGAUGAACGCUAGCUACAGGCUUAACACAUGCAAGUCGAGGGGAAACGAUAUUGGAAGCUUGCUUCCGAUAGGCGUCGACCGGCGUACGGGUGAGUAACGCGUAUCCAACCCGCCCACCACUUGGGGAUAACCUUGCGAAAGUAAGACUAAUACCCAAUGAUAUCUCUAGAAGACAUCUGAAAGAGAUUAAAGAUUUAUCGGUGAUGGAUGGGGAUGCGUCUGAUUAGCUUGUUGGCGGGGUAACGGCCCACCAAGGCAACGAUCAGUAGGGGUUCUGAGAGGAAGGUCCCCCACAUUGGAACUGAGACACGGUCCAAACUCCUACGGGAGGCAGAA